RNAcentral lists this ribosomal RNA (794 nucleotides) under uncultured bacterium. RNAcentral's name for it is "bacterial SSU rRNA". It matches the Rfam family "Bacterial small subunit ribosomal RNA", at positions 8 to 796 of the family's 1533-position model. The record is from RNAcentral.
AGAGUUUGAUCAUGGCUCAGAUUGAACGCUGGCGGCAGGCUUAACACAUGCAAGUCGAGCGGGGAAAGGUAGCUUGCUACUUUACCUAGCGGCGGACGGGUGAGUAAUGCUUAGGAAUCUGCCUAUUAGUGGGGGACAACAUCUCGAAAGGGAUGCUAAUACCGCAUACGUCCUACGGGAGAAAGCAGGGGACCUUCGGGCCUUGCGCUAAUAGAUGAGCCUAAGUCGGAUUAGCUAGUUGGUGGGGUAAAGGCCUACCAAGGCGACGAUCUGUAGCGGGUCUGAGAGGAUGAUCCGCCACACUGGGACUGAGACACGGCCCAGACUCCUACGGGAGGCAGCAGUGGGGAAUAUUGGACAAUGGGGGGAACCCUGAUCCAGCCAUGCCGCGUGUGUGAAGAAGGCCUUUUGGUUGUAAAGCACUUUAAGCGAGGAGGAGGCUACCGAGAUUAAUACUCUUGGAUAGUGGACGUUACUCGCAGAAUAAGCACCGGCUAACUCUGUGCCAGCAGCCGCGGUAAUACAGAGGGUGCAAGCGUUAAUCGGAUUUACUGGGCGUAAAGCGCGCGUAGGUGGCCAAUUAAGUCAAAUGUGAAAUCCCCGAGCUUAACUUGGGAAUUGCAUUCGAUACUGGUUGGCUAGAGUAUGGGAGAGGAUGGUAGAAUUCCAGGUGUAGCGGUGAAAUGCGUAGAGAUCUGGAGGAAUACCGAUGGCGAAGGCAGCCAUCUGGCCUAAUACUGACACUGAGGUGCGAAAGCAUGGGGAGCAAACAGGAUUAGAUACCCUGGUAGUCC